GCUGGUGUAGCUCAGUUGGUAGAGCAACUGAUUCGUAAUCAGUAGGUCGGAGGUUCGAUUCCUCUCACCAGCACCA
This 76-nucleotide transfer RNA is filed under the name Betaproteobacteria bacterium SCN2. Its description in RNAcentral is "tRNA-Thr". It matches the Rfam family "tRNA". Rfam says of the family: Transfer RNA (tRNA) molecules are approximately 80 nucleotides in length. Their secondary structure includes four short double-helical elements and three loops (D, anti-codon, and T loops). The record is from RNAcentral. Lineage: Bacteria; Pseudomonadati; Pseudomonadota; Betaproteobacteria.